Molecule: unclassified non-coding RNA, 318 nt
Filed under: uncultured Pochonia
Lineage: Eukaryota; Fungi; Ascomycota; Sordariomycetes; Hypocreales; Clavicipitaceae
Description: sequence contains ITS1
Rfam family: 5.8S ribosomal RNA (bases 1-105)
Source: RNAcentral
GAAAUGCGAUAAGUAAUGUGAAUUGCAGAAUUCAGUGAAUCAUCGAAUCUUUGAACGCACAUUGCGCCCGCCAGUAUUCUGGCGGGCAUGCCUGUUCGAGCGUCAUUUCAACCCUCAAGCCCUGCUUGGUGUUGGGUGCCGGCACGCGCGCCUCCGGGCGCCCCGCCGCCCCCGAAAUGAAUUGGCGGUCUCGUCGCAGCCUCCCUCGCGUAGUAGUAAAACAUCUCGCUUGGUGGAGUGCGGCGCGGCCACGCCGUAAAACCUCUUAAUUUUUUUUAAGUUGACCUCGGAUCAGGUAGGAAUACCCGCUGAACUUAA